Molecule: long non-coding RNA, 2664 nt
Organism: Salvia splendens (bonfire salvia)
Lineage: Eukaryota; Viridiplantae; Streptophyta; Magnoliopsida; Lamiales; Lamiaceae
Exons: 4
Source: RefSeq, a predicted model, not a curated record
UCUCACUUUAUACUCUCUGCUACUUUAUUUAAUACAUUAAACACAACUUUCUUAAAUCAUAUGCCGAAAAGAAACACCUCAAGUAACAUGGGACGGAGGGAGUAUUAUACUUGAUUUGUUAGCUGUUUUUCUAAAUUUGUGGGCUUAAUAAUUCAAAAUAUUAGUGUACUUGAUUUGAUUAAUAUUAUUAUACUUGAUUUGUUAGCUAUUAUUAUUUGUGGGCUUAAUAAUCCAUGCAUUGUGAUCCACCAUUGAAUCCGUACCGGCACAUGGUGCACGAUGUGUGGGGACAAUCAGGUGCUCACGAGCAUUGGCAGUAUGUUCCGCCUACAUACAUGCCAGAGCCCCCAUUCAAUGAGUCGCAACAGUUCUACAAUUUGUUAGAAGCGUCUAAGUCUGAUUUGUGGGAGGGGUGUGAUUAUUCUAAGUUGUCAACAAAUGCUCGAAUAAUGACUAUGAAGUCUGAACAUCGAAUGUCUCAUUGAGUUGUUGACGAAUUGUGUCAGUUUAUAGAAGAGCGUUUGCCAAAGCCAAAUCGUAUGCCUAACAGUUUCUACAAGUGCAAGAAACAAAUGCAGAUCUAUUGGAGAGAUACAUUGUUGCAAGAAAGGGUGCAUGAUCUAUUGGAGAGAAGACGAGAAUAGGACUGAAUGCAAAGUUUGUGGUCAGGCUAGAUUCAAGGAUAAUGGUAGGAGUCCAUUCAAGAAGAUGUAUUAUUUUCCUCUGGGCCCAAGAUUAAGACGAUUGUAUGCGUCUGGAGUUACAGCUCAAUCCAUGCGAUGGCACGCAGAGCACGCCCAGACUGCUGGAGAGAGGCGUCAUCCAGCUGAUUCUAUAGCCUGGAAAACUUUCGACAAGACACAUCCCUUAUUUGCUUCUGAAUCAAGAAAUGUCAAGUUGGCACUUAGCACAGAUGGAUUUCAGCCAUUCGGCCAAAGUGGUUCACAAUACUCAUUAUGAGCUCAACGAUUUAUGGGCUGAAGGAAUUCCAGCAUACGAUAUAUCAAGAAAACAAAACUUCUAGUUGCGUGUAGCACUAAUGUGGACUUUCAGCGACUUCCCCGCAUAUUCAAUGUUAUCAGGAUGGAGUUCAUAUUGGCACCGUGCAUGUCCGUAUUGUAUGGAGGACUCACAAGCUUUUUCCUUGAAGCAUGAACAGAAAACUACUUGGUUUGAUUGUCACAGGAGGUUUCUCAAUAGAAAUCACCGAUUCCGCAAAGAUAAAAAGAAUUUCAUAAAGAACAUAACCGAACAUUCCGGUCCUCCUUCGAUCUUAAACGGAGAAGAGAUACUUGAUAACUUGGAACAAUUUGAGUGCAAGAGAGUGUUUGAUGAAGGUGCAGAAACAGCAAACUCCGAGUUGAGCAAGAUUUUUGGAUGGAAUAAAUGAAGCAUAUUUUGGGAUCUUUCGUAUUGGAAGACAAAUGUGAUUUGUCACAAUCUGGAUGUCAUGCACAUAGAAAAAAAUAUUUUUGACAAUAUCUUCAAUACCAUCAUGAAUGUGGAAGGCAAGACGAAAGAUAAUGCUAAUGCAAGAAGAGAUUUGGAAGAACUUGGUAUACGGCCUGAACUUUGGCCAUGUGACGGGUAAUAUCACAAGGCUAAUUUCACACUUGAUAAAGAAAGUACGAAAUUAUUGCUCAAGUGGCUCAACAUUUUGAAAUUCCCCGAUGGUUAUGUUUCUAACUUGUCAAGAUGCAUUGAUAUGAAGAAACACAAGUUGUACGGUAUGAAAAGCCAUGACUGUCAUGUGUUUAUGCAACUAUUGCUACCAAUUGGACUUCGUGAGUUACUUCCACACGGUGUAUGGGAGCCUCUAAUAGAGUUGAGCAAUUUCUUUAGGGAUCUUAUUGCUACAGUGAUACGAGAGGCUGAUAUGACAAAGUACAUGAGUCGAUUGUGGCUACCUUGUGCAAGCUUGAGAUGAUAUUUCCUCCGUCUUUCUUUGACUCCAUGGAGCAUCUUCCAGUCCACUUAGCAUAUGAGGCAUUGAUCGCAGGACAGGUGCAAUUCCGAGAGAUGCUCGAAAAACCGUAAACAGGGAUAUGAGAAAGCCCCUGGCACACUUUGUAACGGAUGUGUCUCAUUUGAUGUGACUGUGGAAAAAAUGAUUAAAGAGAAUAAUGGGAAGAUGCCUAACUUUGUAGAAUUUUAUAAAAGGGUUCACACGCUAAGGAGCAAAGAUUCACAGGGAGAGUUGUGUUCGCAGCGCGCCAUAGAAAAAAAUGGAGCAAGUUAUGGCAAGAGCCAGGGGAAGUAGAUCCAGAUUUAGAUCGCAUUUACCUUGACCUUUUUGGGAAGAAUAUGAACAGACAACAAAUUCCCGGAGCCGGACAGGCAACAAGCAUUUAUUUCCCUAAUGCUAGUAGUUCGUCCACUGGGGGCUCGGGCGUUAGCAAGGAAGAGUUACAAGCAAUGCGAGAGCAAAUCACUAUUGAGGUGUGUGGGGAGAUGGAGCAGCGAAAUGAGGCGUCGCGCGCGGAGUUGGAGAGGCAAAAUGCGGCGUCGCGCUGAGUUAGCGAGGUAAAAGGUGGAGUUACGCGCAGAAUUUGCGAAAGAAAAUGAGAGGGUAUUAGAACAAUUGUUUACCCUUAGUGAAAAGGUUAGUUUAGAAUUUUGAUACCUUUUCAUUCUCGCUGCAUUAUUAUUUUUAUUUAAUAAAUU